GGCUGCAGGCAGAGAGGACCCAGGCCUGUGACUUCCCACACCCCUGGGUCUCUUUCCCCCACUCCCGCCCACUGGCCUGUGCCAUCCCCCCUCCCCCUCCCCCUCCACGAUAAACCUUCCUUCCAGCAACCCACUGAGCUCAGUCCUGCCUUGAGGUGCCUCGCUGUGACUGCUGCUCUGGGGAGGUGUCCCCGGAUGGCCCCAAACCAAGCCAGCGCCACCCUCCCCAACUCCCCAAGGCUCCCCAAACACCUUCACGUGAACAUUACACAACUACUAUCAUGCCAUUUUUCUACUUGUCAGCUGUCUGCCCCUCUAGACUGCGAGUCCCAGAAGGGCAGGGCUGGGGCUGUCUUGGUCACCACUGUGUCCCCAACACCAUCCAGCACAGCGCCAGGCCCAGAGCAGGUGUUUUGAUCUGUGCGGGUUUGUUUUUGAAUGAGAGAAUGAAUCCACACUUCGACCUUAUAAGGAAGUGGAGCUCAGAAAAGUGACACACCUUGCCCAAGGCCACACAGCUGCUAAGCGGUGGAGCCGGAACUCAGCUCUUAACUGAGAUGCCACGUGGCUUCUCAGACUCCCCGCUCCCUCAACAGCGAAAUAUUCCUGGAUGGUACUCAGGACGGGGCUUCCUGUCCCAGGGAUAUGGCAGCCAUCAGAGUCCCUGACACGGCCCUGGUGCCCCAUGGUUACAGGCAGUGGCUCCCAAAAUGAACAAGGGGAUGCAGCCCAAACCCAACAACGGCACAGCCCUGUCCUCGGGAAGCUCAGGGCCUGUCACCACGUGGAAAGUGAGGCUGGCCUUUGUCUGCACAGAUUUGCCUUUUUCGGACAUUUCACAAAAAUGGUGGUAAACAGUAUGUGACCUCUGGCGGCCAGCUUCUUUCUGGAACAUAACAAUUUUGAGUUUCGGUCCCUUUGUAGUGCUACGUAGUAACUGUCAGAUGUAUGCAUUUUGUUUAUCCAUUCGCCAGGUGAAAAGAUACCUGUAUUCUUUUCAGUUUUUGGCUAUAAGAGCUUGGAUUUUGUGCUGGGGCAACCAGGAGGGCAGGAAGAAAAGGCUCUGAGCAGGGGAGGGACAGGGUCAGGCCUGGGAGCAGAAAGCUCUCAGGGCCAGCCGAGCAGCAGAUGGGCCAGCGGGAGCCCCUGCUGAGCUUCUGGGCAAGCAUCUCUGAGAGGAUGCUCCCUCCGGCCACUGCUCUGGCCGGGGGCCGUAUGCCCCGACCUCAUCAAGCAGCACCCUGUCUUCCAGGGAAGGAAAGCUGCCUCCCUGGGGUCAGGCAACUGGUAAAAGGCAGAGUCAAAUAUUUGCUCUAGAACUCUCUCCACUGUGUUGGGUGGGGCUGCUGGAGGAAAGAAGCCGACAGAGGCCCCAGGCUUCCCAGAGGGCAGGCCCGGUCCUCUGCCCCUCUCUUCCUCCUUGGGUGGAAGCAGGCGGGGUGGAGCCUGGGUGAAGCUAUAGGUGAUCAGCAGCCUUCCCCAGUGUCAGCUGCCCCCCCGCAGGCCUAGCAAGGGAGCUCUCUGACGUGCAAUCGUGUGCCUGGUGGCUCCCAGCUCUUGGGGGCGGGCGGGGGAACAGGAGCUGGCCUGCAGCUGCCUCAGGGAGUCCAGCCAAGCAGGGGCCACUGACCCCCAGGGGGUCCAUGAACUUGAGUGGGGAAAAACUGCCUUUUUAUUUGCACUAACUGAACUGAAAUGAAAUUCAGCAUUUCCUUCUUACUAACACAGCACAAAAAAGAGAGAAAAAAGAAAUAUUGUUUAGCAGACCCUGGGACUCUGUCCUCAAUAGAAAUGGCAGGUGUUUUCACAUCACGUAACAGUUUUUGUAGAUUCUGAAUGCUCAUCACUACUUUGGAAGUCAUUCGAGCUGCUGCUACAUCCUGUUAUUUCAGGUGUCAACAAGGAAUAGCAUAAUUACUAGAUCACGAUUUUUUAAAUAUUUAAUAAACUGUAUUUUAACUGAUAUCCUUUGUAAUCCUACUUUUUGCCUUUAAAAAUCAUCACUCCAAGAAAGGGCACACAGGUUUUAUCAGAUGGCCAAAGAGACACACUCCCUUCAGUAAAGGCCCCCAGGCCAAGGUGGGGUUGGCCUGCUCAUGUCAGAUGGGGAUGAAGUAGGGUACUGGGUACACAUGGGGUCGUCACUAGCAGUUCUCGGUGUCCUAGACCAGGGGUCCCCAACUCCCGGGCCACGGAACGCUACCGUUCCACAGCCUGUUUAGGAACCGGGCCGCAUAGCAGGAGGUGAGCAGCGGGCCAGCGAGUGAGCUUCAUCUGCUGCUCCCCAUCACCCGCAUUACCGCCUGCACCAUAACCCCCACCCGCUCCACCUCCGGUCCGUGGAAAAAGUGUCUUCCACGAAACCAGUCCCUGGUGCCAAAAAGGUUGGGGACCGCUGUCCUAGACAGUCUACAGGGAAUAAGAGCCCUAAGCAAUCUCUCAAACUGCAGCUGGUCCUUUAGGUGUUCAGCUCUGACAUCCCUUCCUCCAGGAAGCCCUCCCUGACCGCCUAGGACUUUCAGCUCCUGAAGUCCCCUGGGAUCCUGCCCAGUGGGUCGGUCUUUGUUCUGACGAGCCUCCUGGUGAGUUCAAGGCCCAGGGUCUCUGACCUUGCCACCUCCAUACCAGCCACAGGUAGCAUCCAGCCACCCCGUCAGCCAGGCGCCCAUGGGGUUUGGAUGCAGGCACAGCCUCACACAAGGUCACAGCCAGGGUUCGGGGAGGCUGCAUCUGCCCACUCAUGUACAGCAGGGGAAGCUGAGAGCAGGGGGUAGGAAAGAUGGACAUACUCAGAGACAUGGGGGUCCAAGGCCCAGGGCAACUGGAGACAAGAAUGACAAGUGCAUCUUGUCACUUUCCUCUGAUGCUGAGACACAUGUUCAAGGUGGGGACAGCACUGGGGAAAGACACUAAAGGAACAGAAGCGGGGGUUCAGUCGGUGCACUGUGGCGUGGGCUCGGCAGCCUGCAGGCACCCCAACCCUGCCUCGAUUUCCCCAACAGCAUCACGAGCACGUCCCCAGGCCUGGCCCGUCACCAGUGGGCACACGUGAGUGUCAGGUGGGUCAGGAAGAACCUCGCAGUAAUCAUUACGUAUGUGUGUGUUUCAUUCAUAUACUAAGAAGAAAGAACUAUCACAUCAAAACCAUCACUUGGAAACGAAUGAGAUGAAACAUAUUCAAAUUUUUUAAAUGAACCAAUUAAAAAAAAAGUGGUAAGGGAACGGCAGUACAGGUGGUUCGGAGAAAUAACGUGGAGCAUCGAGACAGCACUUCCGCCGCGCCAGGCGCCACCCAAGCACUGUACAAGCUGGCAGGGCUGGCCCAGGCCGGCUGGCUCAGCCCCGGCCGCCACACACUUGCUCAUUUGUGAUGUUGUGACGAAAUCAUCAAGACCUCUACCUCAGGUCAUCCGCCCUCGCCUUGUCCAGCCUUAAGCGAACCACACAGGCUGCGGCGAGUCAGUGGGCCGCUCUCCCAGGCCGCAGUGGCUCCAAAGCAUGGGGCCCGGCCCUCCAGGCUGCAGCUGGGCACCCACAGACAUGCAUGUGUGCCCGGUCUACCCUGAGGAUUCAGCGUGCGGGCGGGGUCGCUGAGGUCGCCUCCCACUUCUGGAGCUGCUGGCAGCCACCCUGGCAGCCACCAAGACGAGAGAACCUCCCGAGAACAAAGCCGACUCACUGGAAAGGUGACCUCAGAGGUGAAGAGAGACAGAGUCCCGACGGACGACGUUGUCUGAGACCCUGGAUCCAGCGAGGCCUGAAGUGAAACUAUUCAAGGCUCCUCAGAUCCAUAAGCCACUAAAUUCCCCCUUUCGGCUUCA
This is a long non-coding RNA of Aethalodelphis obliquidens (Pacific white-sided dolphin), 3821 nucleotides long. RefSeq lists it as uncharacterized. NCBI's taxonomy places the organism in Eukaryota, Metazoa, Chordata, Mammalia, Artiodactyla, Delphinidae. The record is from RefSeq and is a predicted model, not a curated record. The transcript is spliced from 2 exons.